Long non-coding RNA from Triticum aestivum (bread wheat), 3587 nucleotides. RefSeq lists it as uncharacterized. The record is from RefSeq and is a predicted model, not a curated record. Lineage: Eukaryota; Viridiplantae; Streptophyta; Magnoliopsida; Poales; Poaceae. The transcript is spliced from 4 exons.
CAUGGGAGUCGGCGUGGCGGCGGCGUAGUGCCGAGGCAGGAAGGAGGCACGGGACGAUGCAUCAGCGGGUCAUGGUGCACUGCACGAGAUGAGUGACAUGAUGUAAACAACGUUGUAGGCGUUGAUGCCACACAUGCGUCAUUUUCUACUGCCGAUACUGAUUCAUGAGGGCUACUGGCACUGCUGCCGGGUAUGAGCAGGAACUGUCUCCAUUGAGAACUCUGGGUACUGCCGCCGCCGACGACCAUCGAGCACCGAGUUGGAACUGCCACCAUCAAGGAUGACAGGCCGCCAUUGAGGUUGAUUGUUUUGGCCGCGCCUUCCCACUACCAUUCUGCACCAUCACUGCUGUAUUCUGAGCAGCCGGAGCACCCCUACGGUUGCAAGAUUCCUGUAACUUGUAUUUGAGAUGCAUGUCCUAAUCGUCUUGGUUGUGGUCAGGUGUGGUAUGCAGGAAUCCGUCAGAAGAAUGUGGUACAUAAUAAUUGUUUCAUCAUCUCAUCUUCAUGCUACUUCCAGUUAGGUAAGGUUACUUCUCCUUUUGAUCUGUAGUUCAUUUCUAUUAUCGGAAGCGAUCUGAACUAAAAUAAAAUUUAUGUGGUUUCUUAGCAUUUUCUAUCUCAAACUUUGCAUCAUUAUGUCAGAUGCUAGAAAAAUAAAUGCCUGAGACAUGUUUUAAGGAAUUCAAAGAUGAGUCCCCUUUGAAGAGCAAGCAAACAUAGUACGGAGCAAGAUGAUUCGAAAUAGAGGUUCCCAUAAUUGGCAAUUGAAUCAUAUAUGAUGAUUAGCCUAAUGUGCUGCUAUAACAUUUAAAACAUUUUUUGACCUGGGAGCAAUCAGCAAACUCUGACCUCUUUGUAAUGUUUGAUUACCAUUUAUGUAGGGCUCUGUACUGCAGGACAACAUAUUCACUAUCAAUAAAUGGUCUAUUUCCAAUAUAAGGUGUAUGUCAAGUUAUACACCGGCUACAGAAAGUGAGUGUGAGUGGUAAUAUCACUCUAUCAUGGUAGACUGGAAAUUAAAGAUUGUAACUUGAUAGCAUCUUGAUAAAUGUUAAUAAAAAUUGUAGCAAAAUAAAAAGGUUAAGUCUGCUGGUUCGAAUAAGCAGUCAUUUGUCUUCCUUCCAUAGUUUCCACUAUAUGUUAUUUUUAUUGGUUUUUCCCUCUAGACUUCAAUUUCUUUUAUACCAUGGUGAGUUGCCUUUAGUUAGUUUAUUGAAUUUGAUACUUCCAUCAGUUCAUUGCCUUUAGUUAGUUCUAUAACAAGUUUCAAUCAAUUGUUCAUCCCUACAUUAACGAAUAGGUAUGGAGUUGCUUAUUGUUACUUCAAAGCAGCAAGACUGUGUGAUGAUUCCUACAUCGUGAUUAGCAUAUCUAUGCCAUGUACAUUUAUUCUCUGGAACUGGAGGUAAUUUCUUCUAAUAAUCACAAGUUAUUUAUGCCUCUUUUGUACCGAGAUCUCUAGAAGUGGAGGGGUUGAAGAAGGUCAAGUGCAAGAUGAAGAUUAAUAGGAAGAUUUACAACCCAAUGUUGAAGUAUGUAACCCAUUUUGUUUGCAUGUAGCUACAAUCCAAGAGGAAGAAAUGCAGAAGCAUUUGUUCAGGCUUCGGACAUGUGUGGUUGAGGAGAGAGCAACAUCCAGCCACUACAAACUUGACAUAUGUGCAAAGGUACAAGUAAUACAUGCAAUUGUCAAGAAAAAUAACAUAUAUGUGGUGAACAACUCCCAUAGGUAGAGUAAAUGUCGGUUGUUUUACAACAGAUGGGAUGUCCUUCAUUUCAUCUUCUAUGCUAUUGGUGAUUGACUUCGUUUGACCCUUGCAGCAAGUGGCCGUCAUACCCGUCGUCGACGCGUCCGUGCCUAGCGCCUGCCACCGCGCGCCAUCGCUCAUCGUACACCACCUCGCCGUCCUAAGCUGAGUCCCCAUGGGUUGCACUCGUCGGCGGCGGCGGCGCCACCCUCAUCCGGUAUUUUGAGGUUUUCACGCAGAUCUGUUGUUCAGUCUUAGUGCAUCGUGCCUCCUGACUCCGCAUGAUGUAUUUGCUAGCUGCUUGUAUAUUCUACUAAGAUUGACGUGAGUCUUCUUGGGCCUGAUUCAUUCAAGCAAACUAUCUGCAGACAAUUAUUUCAUUUAUUUAUUUGAAAUAAUUUUUUUCUUUUAGGAGAGUAUACAGAAAGACGAAUAGACAUGCAGACUAAGCUCCAUAGCAAAAGGAUUUUGUUAGUACAUGCCAUGUUUAUGCUCACUGUUGAAUAUUAUGUAUAUAACUAUUUAUGCAAUACUUGGACCAUAGGAGCAAUUCAUUCUGUAUAUUUUGCUGGGGAUUGUGCCUUGCAGUCAAUUUAUAGAAGGGUAAGAUGUAUCACAAUUUCUUUGACUUGCAUUCUCUGUGAUGUCAAGUAAGAAAAUAGAAUAUAUACUCUUAGAAUUAUCUUUUCUUUUUUUCGAUGUCUCUAUCUUACUUAUAUAAUCCAAUUGGCAUUCGCUGGAGUUUCUGUUGACGAAACAUUUGUUUUGUGAUGUCAGCAGGUUCUGUUGAUCUACAUUACGGUUUAAUUCUUACACAAAUUAAUGUUGACUUGAUUCCCUGUAGUAGGUUGAGAGGCUUCUCCUCUCAUGAUUUACUCUGAUUAGUUUGCUUGGCUCCAUGCUCCUCAUGAUUUCUUUGAACUUUUCUGUAGGAGCUCGAUCAAAAGUCACCUAAGAAAAAUAUGUCGUUCUUCUCUACAAUGGUUGCAUGUGGAAUUUGAGGAGAAUUUGUGCACCAGCAUCCGGCUCCUUGAUGUUGCUCUGAUCAUAUUGUGUAAAUAUAUUUCUAAUAAAGCAAUCGCCCGAUGGUGUACAUGUUAGAAAUAACAAGAUGUAAUUAUCAAGUGUGAGAGAUGGCAACCUCAUGAUGGGAUGGUAUGUACUGUUGUGCUCAUCAAUAGGUUAGUCUUUCAUUCUAUUGCAGCCAGUAUGUUUUCUGUUAUGCAAACAAUUAAGAAAUAUCUAAUUUCUAUGUACGUCCAAAUAUAUAUAAGUGGUUGUUGUUAACACUGAAUUUGGAUUUGUUAACGGUCGCUGCAUUUGGUCUAUCCCGAGCCUUUGGCUGUGGAUCACGUUCUUUUGAUAUCCGCUUGCCACGAUAUGUUAUCUCUGGUUGUGGUUGUGGCUGGACUUCUGGUAUGUGUUACCUCUAUUUUUUUUUUCUCUGGACUAAUUAGGGCCUGCUUCUGUUUGCUCUGGUUGAUAUAAUGGUUGUGGCAUGCAGCAGCCAAGCCAACAACAGAGCCAGGCUUAGGCCUGAUGACGACUUGACAAAUAUGGUCAAGAUGUUGAAGAUGAGGAAUCUGACGAUACUGAAGAAAUAGGGGGUACUCUUAGCUUUAGUUCCUUAUAUCAUUUUUUGAUGUCCAUUGCUAUGUAUCUGUAUAAACUUGCUUCAGCCAUUAUUGUCAAUUGGCCGGCAAAAGGAUUGCAUAUCUCUAGCCAUACAGAAUAAGCGGAUGAGAUGAUGUGCAUUCAUUUGGUGGCACAAAAUCAAUUUCCUUUGCCAGCUAAUAGUACAUACAUUAAGAAAAUUACUAUAGUUGGCAGCUCUUCA